CCUACGGGAGGCUGCAGUGAGGAAUAUUGGUCAAUGGCCGCAGGGCUGAACCAGCCAAGUCGCGUGAGGGAUGACGGUCCUAUGGAUUGUAAACCUCUUUUGUCAGGGAGCAAAGGGCGCCACGUGUGGCGCUUUGCGAGUACCUGAAGAAAAAGCAUCGGCUAACUCCGUGCCAGCAGCCGCGGUAAUACGGAGGAUGCGAGCGUUAUCCGGAUUUAUUGGGUUUAAAGGGUGCGCAGGCGGAAUGUCAAGUCAGUGGUAAAAUUUCGGGGCUCAACCCCGUCGUGCCGUUGAAACUGGCGUUCUUGAGUGAGCGAGAAGUAUGCGGAAUGCGUGGUGUAGCGGUGAAAUGCAUAGAUAUCACGCAGAACUCCGAUUGCGAAGGCAGCAUACCGGCGCUCAACUGACGCUCAUGCACGAAAGCGUGGGUAUCGAACAGGAUUAGAUACCCUGGUAGUC
RNAcentral lists this ribosomal RNA (459 nucleotides) under uncultured bacterium. RNAcentral describes it as "partial 16S ribosomal RNA". It matches the Rfam family "Bacterial small subunit ribosomal RNA", at positions 338 to 795 of the family's 1533-position model. The record is from RNAcentral.